This 58-nucleotide microRNA precursor is filed under the name Euprymna scolopes. RNAcentral describes it as "Esc-Mir-2-o47a-v1_pre stem-loop". Lineage: Eukaryota; Metazoa; Mollusca; Cephalopoda; Sepiida; Sepiolidae. The record is from RNAcentral.
CUCAUCAAAUAGCCGUGAUAUGCUGACAAUGACUUAUCACAGCUAGCUUUGAUGAGCU